AGGUAUUUUAUUGAAAGUAAAAAGGUUGCCUAAAUGAUCCAAACAGUCAGUUAUUAGAGAAAGUGUUUGGAUGAUUUUUUCUUUCAGAUAAAUAGAAAUACCUCACAAAUUUUUUCUCCAUAAAUACAACUCAAUUAGAAGAAAUGAAAUGUGGAGAUGCUCUUUUUCUCUUUUCAGGUAAAGAGACAUCAGAGGAAUGUGACACCAAUAAGAUUUCACUGACUUUUAGGUGAUAUCAUAAUGCCUUUUUUUUCUUUAAAAAAAAAAAAAAAAAGCUGCAAGAAGAAAAACUAUGCUCCUAAUCUGUUAUUCAUGAAUUGAAUCCAAAAAUAACAGACAUUGUAGUAACCCCUUGAGAACAGGUACAAUCAUUUGCUAUGCAUUUAUUAAUUGUUAAUAGGGUGGUGGAAUACCAAGCAUAUGGACCCCAGCUGAGAUCAAGUUCCCACUGUUCAGCGUGUUGCAGAAUCAAAACAAAAGGAAACCUAUGAGGGACACACAGACCACACCAUCAAUCAAGGUCACAGCAUUCGCAGGGGAAAAGGACAUG
Molecule: long non-coding RNA, 550 nt
Filed under: Anser brachyrhynchus (Pink-footed goose)
Lineage: Eukaryota; Metazoa; Chordata; Aves; Anseriformes; Anatidae
Description: lncRNA (ENSABRG00000012159.1)
Source: RNAcentral